Molecule: ribosomal RNA, 270 nt
Filed under: uncultured low G+C Gram-positive bacterium
Lineage: Bacteria; Bacillati; Bacillota
Description: partial 16S ribosomal RNA
Rfam family: Bacterial small subunit ribosomal RNA
Source: RNAcentral
UUGGGUUAAGUCCCGCAACGAGCGCAACCCUUGAUCUUAGUUGCCAGCAUUCAGUUGGGCACUCUAAGGUGACUGCCGGUGACAAACCGGAGGAAGGUGGGGAUGACGUCAAAUCAUCAUGCCCCUUAUGACCUGGGCUACACACGUGCUACAAUGGAUGGUACAAAGGGCUGCGAGACCGCGAGGUUUAGCCAAUCCCAUAAAACCAUUCUCAGUUCGGAUUGCAGGCUGCAACUCGCCUGCAUGACGNCUGGAAUCGNUNGUAAUCGC